RNAcentral lists this long non-coding RNA (1483 nucleotides) under Cyanistes caeruleus (blue tit). Its description in RNAcentral is "lncRNA (ENSCCEG00000007439.1)". Lineage: Eukaryota; Metazoa; Chordata; Aves; Passeriformes; Paridae. The record is from RNAcentral.
CAAUCCUCUUUGUCCUGGGCUUCCUCGUGCUGGUGCUGACCACCCUGGCCAUCGUGUUCCAGUCUGCUGGCCCCAAAAUUAGCCCCCUAAAGAGCUGGAAGCCACGAUGGAGGAGCCUGGGGGAGCCCCACGUCCCACCAGAGUACAUCCUCCUUAAGGACAGGUAAAGACCAGCCUCUGCAUGGUCCUACAAAAAACCUCCCCAAGAAAUUCAUCCUCUGCUUGAGCUGGGGUCUGAUCUCACUGAGAAAAAUGAGAUGCUCUUCACCCUCUUUGCCCUUCUCUCCAGCCUCAAGUUCUAUCAGAUGCUUGGUCCUCGUGGAUCUGGAGCAGAUGCUGGCUCUGGAGAGAGAGGAGCAGUGCCCAGUGCAGAGCACAGCUUCAGCCCCAGGCUCCUGGAGGAUUUCAGUGUCCGCACCCUCUACGACAAGCUGGAGGAUCAGAAUUUGCACCUGGCCUCUCAGCUGGCAAAGCACAGGAUGGACGUGCUGGUGUUCCACAACAGGAUCAGCCACAGCAUCCAGAGCCUGGUGGACACGGUGCAAGCUCUGGACUGGGAAGGCCUGAAAACCUUUUCCAGGCAAGGGAUCUGUGAGCAGAAAGCUGCAGAGCAGAGCUGGGCAGCAGUGGGUGCAGAUCACUGGAACAACAACUUCCAGGCAGGUGCCCCGUGGCAAGAGGUGACAGAGUUAAUGAGAGCUCUGGAAGUGCUGCUUGGGAACGUUCCUGACGGGAGCAGAGCUGCAAACCCAGAGAUGGAGCUCAGGAUCCAAGCACAGGCUGCAGUGGGAGCCGUGCCCUCCCUGCACAGCCUGGCCACUGAAAAUAAAUCAGAAGGGCAGGAUCCUGAGCUGUUCAGCAGGAAAGAUCCUUUUUCCAGCCUGCCUGGGCAUGAGGAGCAGGGUUUAGCUCUCCAGCUGGUUUAUCUGACUGAGCUGGAGGUCGAGGGUCUGGUGGCAGCUUCCCCCCUUGCCAAGACCCUGUGUGAGAUCAAGGAAGCUUUGGUCAAUCUGCAGCAACCCUCAGCCCUUGGUAAUUCAGACAGCAAACAUCAAACCAGCCUGGGGAGCUCAGCCCUCUUCUGACUGCUGGAUUCCUGGGAUGAAGCCCUGCAGCUGGAAUAAGGAGGAGUUGCAUUCUCAGAGCACUGAAGGGACAGAAGCAGGAGUAUUUCGUGUUCUGCACAGUAAAACAGCCACCAGCUCAUUUCCUGGAGGAGCUGAACUUACCCUGGGCAAUGGAUAAAGUUGGAUUGGGAAGGGAGGGGGUGUCUGGGACAGAGCAGCUUUACCUGAAGUGUCAGAACAGACACAGAUUUAAUUAAGGAUGUAUUUGGUCAAACAUGUGAUGAGGAAUCCAUAUUCUUUUUGCUUAACCUUGAAAUAUUUUCACAUUUGCUGUGGAUUGCAAUAGUUUGUAGGCUGGAGAAGGAGGCUGAAGUCCUUGGUGUUGUUAAGUUAAUAAAGCAAUAAACAGAAGACCA